UGUUGGUUCUCCCGCAACGCUACUCUGUUUACCAGGUCAGGUCCGGAAGGAAGCAGCCAAGGCAGAUGACGCGCGUGUGCCGGGAUGUAGCUGGCAGGG
This 99-nucleotide signal recognition particle RNA is filed under the name Salmonella enterica. Its description in RNAcentral is "signal recognition particle sRNA small type". It matches the Rfam family "Bacterial small signal recognition particle RNA". Rfam says of the family: The signal recognition particle (SRP) is a universally conserved ribonucleoprotein involved in the co-translational targeting of proteins to membranes. Archaeal SRP consists of a 7S RNA and homologues of the eukaryotic SRP19 and SRP54 proteins. The record is from RNAcentral. RNAcentral also lists the same sequence under 2 other names. Lineage: Bacteria; Pseudomonadati; Pseudomonadota; Gammaproteobacteria; Enterobacterales; Enterobacteriaceae.